UGUUAGCGGCGGACGGGUGAGUAACACGUGGGUAACCUGCCUGUAAGACUGGGAUAACUCCGGGAAACCGGGGCUAAUACCGGAUGGUUGUUUGGACCGCAUGGUUCAAACAUAAAAGGUGGCUUCGGCUACCACUUACAGAUGGACCCGCGGCGCAUUAGCUAGUUGGUGAGGUAACGGCUCACCAAGGCAACGAUGCGUAGCCGACCUGAGAGGGUGAUCGGCCACACUGGGACUGAGACACGGCCCAGACUCCUACGGGAGGCAGCAGUAGGGAAUCUUCCGCAAUGGACGAAAGUCUGACGGAGCAACGCCGCGUGAGUGAUGAAGGUUUUCGGAUCGUAAAGCUCUGUUGUUAGGGAAGAACAAGUACCGUUCGAAUAGGGCGGUACCUUGACGGUACCUAACCAGAAAGCCACGGCUAACUACGUGCCAGCAGCCGCGGUAAUACGUAGGUGGCAAGCGUUGUCCGGAAUUAUUGGGCGUAAAGGGCUCGCAGGCGGUUUCUUAAGUCUGAUGUGAAAGCCCCCGGCUCAACCGGGGAGGGUCAUUGGAAACUGGGGAACUUGAGUGCAGAAGAGGAGAGUGGAAUUCCACGUGUAGCGGUGAAAUGCGUAGAGAUGUGGAGGAACACCAGUGGCGAAGGCGACUCUCUGGUCUGUAACUGACGCUGAGGAGCGAAAGCGUGGGGAGCGAACAGGAUUAGAUACCCUGGUAGUCCACGCCGUAAACGAUGAGUGCUAAGUGUUAGGGGGUUUCCGCCCCUUAGUGCUGCAGCUAACGCAUUAAGCACUCCGCCUGGGGAGUACGGUCGCAAGACUGAAACUCAAAGGAAUUGACGGGGGCCCGCACAAGCGGUGGAGCAUGUGGUUUAAUUCGAAGCAACGCGAAGAACCUUACCAGGUCUUGACAUCCUCUGACAAUCCUAGAGAUAGGACGUCCCCUUCGGGGGCAGAGUGACAGGUGGUGCAUGGUUGUCGUCAGCUCGUGUCGUGAGAUGUUGGGUUAAGUCCCGCAACGAGCGCAACCCUUGAUCUUAGUUGCCAGCAUUCAGUUGGGCACUCUAAGGUGACUGCCGGUGACAAACCGGAGGAAGGUGGGGAUGACGUCAAAUCAUCAUGCCCCUUAUGACCUGGGCUACACACGUGCUACAAUGGACAGAACAAAGGGCAGCGAAACCGCGAGGUUAAGCCAAUCCCACAAAUCUGUUCUCAGUUCGGAUCGCAGUCUGCAACUCGACUGCGUGAAGCUGGAAUCGCUAGUAAUCGCGG
Molecule: ribosomal RNA, 1271 nt
Filed under: Bacillus subtilis
Lineage: Bacteria; Bacillati; Bacillota; Bacilli; Caryophanales; Bacillaceae
Description: bacterial SSU rRNA
Rfam family: Bacterial small subunit ribosomal RNA
Source: RNAcentral